AGAGUUUGAUCCUGGCUCAGAUUGAACGCUGGCGGCAUGCUUUACACAUGCAAGUCGAACGGCAGCGNNNGGCAACCUGGCGGCGAGUGGCGAACGGGUGAGUAAUAUAUCGGAACGUACCCAGAAGUGGGGGAUAACGUAGCGAAAGUUACGCUAAUACCGCAUACGAUCUACGGAUGAAAGUGGGGGACCUUCGGGCCUCAUGCUUGUGGAGCGGCCGAUAUCUGAUUAGCUAGUUGGUAGGGUAAAGGCCUACCAAGGCGACGAUCAGUAGCUGGUCUGAGAGGACGACCAGCCACACUGGAACUGAGACACGGUCCAGACUCCUACGGGAGGCAGCAGUGGGGAAUUUUGGACAAUGGGCGCAAGCCUGAUCCAGCAAUGCCGCGUGAGUGAAGAAGGCCUUCGGGUUGUAAAGCUCUUUUGUCAGGGAAGAAACGGUGGGAGCUAAUAUCUCCUACUAAUGACGGUACCUGAAGAAUAAGCACCGGCUAACUACGUGCCAGCAGCCGCGGUAAUACGUAGGGUGCAAGCGUUAAUCGGAAUUACUGGGCGUAAAGCGUGCGCAGGCGGUUUUGUAAGUCUGUCGUGAAAGCCCCGGGCUCAACCUGGGAAUUGCGAUGGAGACUGCAAGGCUUGAAUCUGGCAGAGGGGGGUAGAAUUCCACGUAGCAGUGAAAUGCGUAGAGAUGUGGAGGAACACCGAUGGCGAAGGCAGCCCCCUGGGUCAAGAUUGACGCUCAUGCACGAAAGCGUGGGGAGCAAACAGGAUUAGAUACCCUAGUAGUCC
This 789-nucleotide ribosomal RNA is filed under the name uncultured bacterium. Its description in RNAcentral is "bacterial SSU rRNA". It matches the Rfam family "Bacterial small subunit ribosomal RNA", at positions 8 to 796 of the family's 1533-position model. The record is from RNAcentral.